Molecule: long non-coding RNA, 1898 nt
Filed under: Helianthus annuus (common sunflower)
Lineage: Eukaryota; Viridiplantae; Streptophyta; Magnoliopsida; Asterales; Asteraceae
Description: sRNA HanXRQr2_Chr08g0328761
Source: RNAcentral
UUUGAGAACUAAUUGGGUUGGCCCCAAACAUGAACGUGAUAUAAAAAAGGUUAGAUGGAACUGAAACGGCGAUGGCUAUUGGCAUGCGUGGAUUUAGAUGGUGCAAUUGAAGGGACGAUUAUGCCAUUUUUCCAACAGUUUUCUGUUUACAAAUGCUUUUAAUGGAACCCACAAAAGUUGGUUGGAAGGUUAGGACCAAAGAAUUUAUAUUAUGAACAGAGAGAGAACAUAUUGAAGCAGAAAUGGAAAUAACCCUAGCAAAAUGUAAGGUUUUUUUAUAGUGGUUAAGCAACCUCCAGUAAAAAAAAAGUUGCAGCGGAUCUUCGGUGUCAAAAGAAUCAAAACUUCAUGUGUUAGACUGAUUACCCUCAAAGCUGGCAUAAAAGUUCCGGAAGUCGAUGUGGCAUUGGUUUCAUAUUUGGUAGCUAUCUUGGUGCCAUUUUGCUGGUUCUGCACCAGCUUAUUUUUACACCUGUAUUGUAUGAUUUCUACAACUAUGAUGUUGACAAAACAGAAUUCAGUCAACUUUUUUCAAAGUUCACACAGGAUAUGGCUUUGCUGAGGGCAUUGUUAUAUUUCAUAGGGAUGAAACACUCGAUAUCGCUUCGGAAAUCACAGAAAACUCCCAAGGCGAAAACAAAUUAGUUGUGACCUUAGUGUCAAGUGUUUAGCUUAAACAAUAUACGUAAUCUCUGCAUCAUAAUUGGCUAUUGAAUUGUAUAAUUUAUUACCCCCAUUCACAUUACAUGACUAAUUGAAUGUUCCAUUUCUCUUCAGUGUUAUGCUAUUUCCUUGUUUUGGUCAUCUUUUCAUCCAUCAUAUACCAAAUGUACGUAGGUUGUAAAGCUACCAACAUUUCUAUCAUGUUGCCUAAAGAUAUCAUCAUUAUCAGUUGAGACGGUAAUUGGUCUCAUGGUCUGGUUUGGUUUUGGUACUGACAGUCCCAUACACCAUUAUAAAACCAUUGUUAAAAGUUACCAUUGGGUAUGCUAUUAGUCCCAAUCUCAAAAACCAACUUAAAAUAUCAUAUUCUAACAAUUCUACAAGUUUGAUAAAUUCAAGUUUCGAACAACUUCAAAAUAUAAUAUAAUGGGUAUGGUAUUAGUUUCUAGUAGGUUGACAUGUAUCAUCCAAUACCAUAACCUUUACUAGUAUCUAUUUUUUACCUGUUGUAAUUUAUGAAAGGGAUAAUUCUGAUUCGGAGGAUUAACCAGAAAGUUUAAACGGAUUAAGGAAAAUUCAAGCGGGUUCGAGACAAAUAUAGUUUGAAUUAUCGGUUUAUAAAAUAUGUUUAUCUAGUUGGUUUAUUUGAUUUUUAAAAUAGAGUUUGAGUUGGGUUAGGAUUAGGAUUAGCAUUAGCAUGAGUAUUAAGUAUAGUAUAAAAGAGUCGAACGAGUUUGUUAAUAUGGCGUGCUUUUGUGUUUUGAUCAAGGGCCCGAUUUCCGAAAAUUUGUAAUGAAGGAACCCCAAUUUCAUUUGAUCAUUCAUUAUGAAUUAAUGAUAAAUGUAUGUGAAUUUGCGUGUUGACUUGUUUCUGUAUAUCUUCACUUGUUUUUUGACUGAUGUUGUGUUUGUGUAGAUUAGAAAAUGGGGCUAAAGAAAAAGAGUGUCAAACUUCUAACAAGACUGAUUUCAUUAGCAAAGACUGGUUUCUUUUAUGUUAAGAGAAAGAAUCUGAGGAUGAAGGCGAACAAGCUUGAAAUAAAAAAAAUAUGAUUCUCGUGUUCUUUUCACCGAAGCCAAGAUAAAAUGACAACAGAGAUAAAUCUUUAUGAUGGAACUUUGCUGUUAAAGAAGUCAUAUGAUUAUGCUGCUAGUAUCUGUUCUAAUCCGAAACUAUUUUUGUAAUUUUGUUGUCCGGUUUUCAUGACAAUAUAUUAAAAAACAUAAUAAUUUUU